UCCCGGUACUUGGUGUGGUAUGCAUUCUUUGCCGACCCAGCCAACAAGCACGCCUCCGCUCCCAAAAAGGUUGUCCAGGAGAAGACGAAGAAGAAGACGGUCCAAGUGGUGGAGGAGCCAGUGACUAGACCUUUGCCGCAGCAGAGACACCUGGUGACGACGUUAAGCACCGUCUGGCUGACGGCAAGCAGCCCAAACGCCGCUAGUCCGUACACCGUGGAGGCAUCCGUGCCGUACACGCAGUAGGUACGCUCGUCGUACUCAUCGGGCACUAUCUUUGCCGUGCUACGGCGUCGUUCGGUGCCGACGGCGAAGAUGAAGGCGAUGAGAUGGAGGGAGGUAACGAUGGCGACUAUGGGUAUCGAGACUGCCAUUGUUGUCUCUCGCUUUUCUCAGUGGGGAGUGUGUGGGAAGGACUGGUUGGAGCAGUGCCUGGUGCGGAUCUGUUCCAACGAGCCCGCGCUCCAAUGGACGACAGAUCGGAGUAUGGAAUCGAUCCGCCGCUCAAGGUCGAAGGCGGAGUUGAGGCAGGGAUCCUUGCACACCUGCAGCCACGGCUUGCAGACCAGCAUCAGCGCACUCCAUCGGUGCUCCAGGGUGAGAUUCUCAAGUCGUCAGCGUCGGUCCGAAAGGAGAGCUCUAGUGAUCAGGCUGAAGACAUGGGGAAAGGAGCCAAGUGGGUCAGAUUUUGUAGCCGGGCUCACGGUUUGGGUCUGAGGAGAGAUGGAGAUGGGCCAAAUUUUGUAGCUGGGCUCAGAUAUGUAUAUAUAUAUAUAUAUUUUUUUUUUUUAAUUAAUUUUUUUUUUUAAUAAUUUUUUUUUUAAAGAAAUUGUAAUUUAAUUUUGUACCAAGAAAAUUGCAAGUAAAUUUGUAAUAAAAUUGACCUUCAUUAAUGAGACUUUAAACAAACCCCCUUUUUUUUUUUUUUUUUUUUUUAAUAAGAUUGACUUUCUUUAAUAAAACAUUUAUUUAUAUUUUGAUGUGACUGAACUCGAAAAAUUGAACAUUCGAGCUGCCUACGUACCCCUCCAAAGAAGAGAUCAAGUCAUAACGUAGUUCAAAUACAUACAUAUUUUAUUUUAUUUUUUGGUAUUUUCUUUUUUGUGCUGUUUGCAGUUUCAACUCGUGCAGACAAGGAGCAUUUGGUGCCGUGUUGCAGUUUCAGCUCGUGCAGGCAAGGAGCUUUGGGUUGUCGCAUUUUAUGCUCGUGCAGACCAGGAGCGUUGGUGUUGCCUUUUAUGCUCGUGCAGACCAGGAGCAUUGUGCCAUGCAAUUUAGGCUCGUGUAGGCGAGGAGCUUUGGUUCAUGCAGUUUUAGGCUCGUGCGAACAAGGAGCAUUGUGUCCUACAGUUUAGGCUCGUGCGGACAAGGAGCUUUGGUUCGUGCAGUUUAGGCUCGUGCGAACAAGGAGCAUUGGUUCGUGCAGUUUAGGCUCGUGCGAACAAGGAGCUUUGUGCCAUGCAGUUUAGACUCGUGCGGGCAAGGAGAAUUUGUUGAUUUUGUCAAGCAAUCCGGGAGAGGCGUUCCUCACAAAUUUUCAUAGCAAGGAGCUUUGACUGCGUGAUUGAAGAAGUCUUCGGGCAAGAAGUCGCGCAUCGUGAUGGCAACGGAAGAUCUUUGUGUCGCAAUUUCAUCAUCUUCAACACGUUCAUGUUGCUUUGAAGGUUGACAAGAGCUGUUUUGCCCCUUUUUCCGAUUGGCGGACUUGUGGAGGAGACGUAUGCUUCUUGUGCAAUUUCUUAGGAGUGACUUGAGUCCAUCCUUCAAUUUUGCUUGUCUUGGAGGAUGCCCCCAGCGGUUGAGGUGAAAACUUCGAGUCGGAAGAGUCAGAAGUGAUGGUGGUAUAGUUUGACUUCACCACAUCGUCAAGAUCUAGCUCGAUGAUUCCUUUUUUGAGCCAGCUUCAUGAUAAGAUCUUUCAGUACGAAGCAUUUUUUCUGUCGGAUGACUGAUGAAGCGGUGGAAUUUACAGUACCUUGGACUGUCGGUGCGAUUCAUCUCUUCUGGCCGUCUGCACUCAGGCAAGCCGAUCACCUUCUUUUCCAGCAAGUCUUCUAACAUGGCAACCACAUCAGAGUCGGGGAAUGGAUAAGUUUUCUCCUCGAGCUCCUUCAAAGUGCGUCUACGCAUCUCUUGAUCACGAAAGCCUUCGGCUUGAAUCGCCUUGCCUCGUGUGGAGAUUUUGACAGGAGAUGUGUUGACCGUCAUCGCUUCCUUGGUGGGUUUCCAUGCAGCCUUUUCCACCUUUGUCUCAAGAACAUUGUCAUUCUUGUAGUUGGCGAUUGGUUCCUUCUUCCCAUGAUGGGCGAUGCUCAACUCCAUGUCAUGGGCGCGAGUGGCUAAUUCCUCGAAGGUCCGUGGUUUAAUGCCUUGAAGGAUGUAUUGCAAACCCCAUUGCAUGCCUUGGAUGCACAUCUCGAUUGAAGAGGUUUCCGAGAGCCUGUCUUUACAGUCGAGGCUUAGAGUGCGCCAUCUGUUGAUGUAGUCAAUGACUGGCUCGUCCUUCCACUGCUUUGUGCUCGUUAGCUCUAGCAUGCUCACAGUGCGGCGGGUGCUAUAGAAGCGGUUGAGGAAUUCCCGCUCUAAUUGUUCCCAGCUGUUGAUGGACUCAGGCUCUAGGUCUGUGUACCACUCAAAGGCGUUUCCUUUCAGCGAGCGCACAAACUGCUUGGCGAGGUAAUCCCCUUCAGUUCCUGCGUUGUUGCAAGUUUCAACGAAGUGGGCAACGUGCUGUUUCGGGUUUCCCUUUCCAUCAAAUUGCAUGAACUUUGGUGGUUGAUAACCCCUCGGCAUCCUUAAGGCGUCGAUCUUCUUUGAAUACGGCUUUGAGUACAACCCGGAGGUAUUUGAGCUCCCUUCGUACUGUGCCUUGAUGGUGUUGGUGAUCAUCUCUUGCAGCUGCUGGAUAGAAAGAGAUCCCAUGAGUGCCGCUGCUUGGUCUGGCUCCGGCUUCCCAUCGAUUUUCUUCACCGGGGGUUCUUCGUCUCCGCCAGCUCCUCCCUUUAGUGGAUCAUCCUCUGGGUCGGGUUUAUCGCCGUCUUGUGCCUCCAAUCGGUUGACUAGUGCUGUAAUUUGCAAGUCUUUUUCUUCCACAGUUCGGGUUAGCCUUGCGAUUGCUUCAUUCAUUUGAGCCAGCUGCUCAUCGAUUGAAGUUGCUCCAAUGGUCAUGACUUGCAUGGCUGAACUGUCGCUUGAAUCGGCAUCGGAGAGCAUGGAUUCGGAGUAUUUCCUUGGGCUUUCCCCCCUUGGUGCCCUUAGUGAGGCUAAGGUGAUCACAGGCUCAUGCCUGGGGUACUCUCGUUCCCCUGGCAGAGUUGAUGCAGAGGUGGCAGAAGUAGCUUUUGCUUUGCUUCGAGUCGUGAUACCCAACGUGACACCACUUGCGACGAGGACGCUCUUGUUCUUUGCGCCGGUUGCAGGAACAGUUUGAGCCUUCCUUGAUGCCAUUAAUUUUGGUAGUGCGCUUGAAUUUCUUGAACGGAGAAAGAGAUGAGAGGCAGAGAUGGUCCCACUGGGCGUGCCAAUUUGUGAACACGGAAAAUUCCUGAAACGAAAGAGACAAGAACAACGCGCACAAACAAAUAUUCGUAUUUAGAUGAUUUUGGGUUACAAUCUCUCUCUAUUUUGAUCCUCUGAUUCGAUCUCCGUAAGGUGUUGAUUGGUGGAUAUUUCGUUGAUCCAAGGGCCGUCAAGGCUUGAUCUUGGAUGAACUGUUGGAAGUUUCUUCAAAAGGGCCGUGGGCUUGAUCUUUGGAGGUGGAUUUGAGCGGAUCUUCAAGGAGCCGUUGGGGCUUGAUCUUGAGGAUGAAUGUUUCUUCAAGGGCCGUUUGAGGCUUGAUCUUGAAUAACGGUAAUGAGCAGAUCUUCAAGGGCAUUUGGGCUUGAUUUUGAAGAACAGUGAUGGACGGAUCUUCAAGGGCUUUUGGGCUUGAUCUUGAAGAACGGUUGGAUGUGUGGAUUUGUCGACGUUGUUAAUCCAAAGGGGGGCCGUUGGGGCUUGAUCUUGGAUGAACGGAUGAUGAGCGAUGGGGCUUUCUUCAAGGGCCGUCGGGGCUUGAUCUUGAAUUAGUGGAUGAUUGUUGAUCCAAAGGGCCGUUUGGGCUUGAUCUUGGAAGAACGAUGAACGAAGAACGAAGAACACUUUCUUCAAGGGCCGUCGGGGCUUGAUCUUGAAUUGGUGGAUGAUUGUUGAUCCAAAGGGCCGUUUGGGCUUGAUCUUGGAAGAACGAUGAACGAAGAACGAAGAGAGCUUUCUCGAUUCUUCGGGAACCUGGAUGCUUGAGAGCUUCGGAGUUUCAGAGCUUCAGAGCUUCAAGGUGUAAUAUGAAUUCCCCCUUAAAUGAAUGAAAUGGGCUUGUAUUUAUAGAAUUUUCCAAGGCCUAACUUUGAAUAUAAUAUUCCAGAUGAAAUAAGUCGUUUCUGCCAGGUGUUGACACGUGUCCUAUUUGAUGACUUUUCCAACUCAUUUCAAUUUUCGUUGAGUCACACGCUACGUGUAAAAUUUAUGUAAUACAUGAGCGUUGACACUUUGAUUUAUCGGUCAACAUUUAUUUACCGAAAUUUCGAUGUCUACAGAAUCCAAACAACGAACUUGAUGUAUCUUGACUCAAAUAUUCCAAUUUUUAUUCAUAUUGCAAAUUUAGUUCUCUUGUCGAAAUGCAAAUAAGUACAAAAAAAAAUACAAAAGAAAUAAUGUAAUGUGCAAAUUUGCAACUACUAAUUCCAAAACAUAAAGGAUAAAAAGAAGCAACAUCUUUAAAACUAGAUGCCAUAUGCUGCUCAUGACACCGACCUUAUAGAAAAUCAGACUAAAUCUUAUAAACUAAAUGAUAUAAAAGUUGAUGAUUGAAUUAUUACUUAAGUGUUGAUAAAAAAAAUUAUUACGUAAGUAUUCAUUAACGUGCUCAUUUCUUAUUGGUGACACAUAUUUGGUUUGCUAAUUUGAUCUACAAAUUUAAUCUACCUAGCAUUACUCAGAACCGAAUAUUAAAUGAAGAGAAAAAUUGUCAUUUUUUGGCAAAUGGGAUGUUCUACUACUCUAAUAUAGGAGGAAUUUUAUCAACUAGGACAAAUCUACAAGAAGAGGAAUUCAACCUUAGAAAAAAGGGACACAUUGCUCUAACCAACUAACAUAUGAUUUGUCAUCUUUUAAACAAUUAUCACUAUAUAAUUUUGUCAUUUUUAAAUAAUAUAAUUUUUGCAUCUUAGUACUAUGGUCUCAUGAUAUUCCUCUUCAUUUUGAGAAGUCUUAGAUUCGAUGGAUGUUGAGUUCAAAAUUAAUUUAUUCCCCCAACUCUUAGUCUAAAUAUAUCAUUGUGUAAAAGAUAAUAACCACUAAGACCUUAAAGCAUAAUUAGAAUUUUUUUUUGUUUUUAGCAAACGAUAACAUAUGGGUUAAAUUGUUAAAUAUUGGGGGAGAAGGGAAUCGAUAGGAAUCAAACUCAUACCAAAGUGCAUAAACAUUAUUACUUUCUGCCACUUUAGUUCAAUGCCAUUUGCACAUAACUAGAAAUUUUUAGGAAUAAACUCUGAUGUUAAUUAAAUUAAAACUUGACUGCGAUAGCUCAUUAGUUACAUUGGUAAAACUGUAUAAAUUAACAUACACAAUACCAUUUUAUUUUAUUUUCUUCAAUGGACAACAUAUGGUCAGAUCAAAUCUCGAAAGUUCAGUGGUCUUGAUGGGAAGGAGUAAAAAAGAGAUAACAUACACAGUACCUUCUUGCAGCAGCAGCUGAGACAAAUGAGAAGCUUCCCAUAUUCUUCAAAAUGAUUUAACCUCCUCUACAACAAGAGAAUCAUUUCCUGGAGGUGGGUACCUUGUUCUAACUUCUUUUCAGUAAUUUAGAUGCAUAUAUAACUUCUUUUCAAAGCACACGUGCGCAUUUUGUAGCAGACCAUGUGGAAUGCGGUGUUCUCAUUUAGGUGAAUGAGGUUUGUCUGCUUUAUCAAUAAUUGAGAUCCAAUCGGGAGACGUCACGCAAUAAUAAUUUGAUUUGAACUAUUCUUCGACGAUAAUUGAACAUAAUAUAUGCAAGGUCUAUUCUUUUAUUAGUAUAAAUUUUUUUCUCAACACGUAUCUUUUAUGUGAUAAAUUGUUAAGCCUAAUACAUAGACAACACAAUUCAGAUGACAAAACACAUGUGGCCGUUAAGCUUCAUACACCAAGGUCCAUUCUCUCAUUAGUAUGAGAUUUAUCUUCAACACACCCCUUACACGUGGUGAAUUGUUAAACCUAACAUGUGGACAAUACAAAUCAGAUGACGUGGAGCACACGUAGCCGUUAAGCUUCACAUGUGGGGCAAACUGUUUUGAUACCAUAUCGAAAGUUGAUGUUCCACCAUAAAACUAAUUGGAAAUAUGAAACUUAGCUAAAUUACUUAUGGGGUGUGAUAUCCACACACCCAUUUUUACUUGUCACACACCCCUUGUUAAUUUAUGUCCGUUGAUCUUUUUCAAUUCAUCCAAUUCGACGGCCGAAAACUAAAAAGGUGUGGGAGAAGUAAAAAGGGGUGUGUGAAUAUCACACCCCAUUGCUUAUAAGCACAUGUAAGGUCUCUUCAUACAUCAAUGUGAAAUUCAUUAACACUUGUAAAUAAAAAGUUUGGGUAAUUCCCACUUUACUAUCCUCAAGUUUUGUCAAAAUUGCACUUUCGUACACUUACCUUUUUCGUCUCACUUUCAUACCUAAAAUUUGAUUUUUCUACCACUUUGGUACUUCUAUUAGCCUAACGGUUCAUUUUUUUGUUAACUGUUGACGUGACAGUAUCUUGACCCACUAAUUCUCACUUUACUACUUUCAAGUAUUCUGAAAUUCGCACUUUGUUAUCCUUAGUUUUUUUUGUCUUACUCUUAUAACUAAAUUUAUAUUUUGCUCUUAUAUUCAUAGUUCCGUUAGCCUGAGCGUCUUGGCUUCGUUAAAGCGUAACGUGGAGCUUGACUGCAUAAUGACUUUGUGGAAAGGUGGCACUAUGGCUUAAGAAAAAAAAAAUUAAACAAUUAAAAAACAUUUGCGAUAUAAAAUUUUCAAAUGUCAACUUUUUUUGCGGAAUUUAGGUUUUUUUUUUUAUUUUUCACGUGGCAACAUUUGUUGCUCUUAGUGUUUGAAAUUUUUUAAUUUGACUAGAACUUAUUUCAAAGUCUCCGCUUGAACAAUCUUGUAUACCUUGAGGGGCCCACAGUACCACGUUUUUCCAUAAUCAACUUCCAAUCAAAGCCUAACAUGGCACUUGGCCAAUAGUGCCACGUUUCUGAUAGUCAUCAUCUAAUCAAGUGUAACGUCACACUUUUAACGAAGCCGAUGGCUACCAGGCUAACAUAAGCAUGAAUUUGGGAGCAAAAUGUGCCUAUGUAUGAAAGUGAGAUGAAAAAACUAAAAGUGAUAAGAGUGUGAAUUUCAAAAUACUUUAGAAUAGUAAAGUGUGAAUUAGUGGGGUUAAGAUCCUGUUACGUCAUCAAUUAACAAAAAGUUAACGAUUAGGCUAAAUUAUUUAUAUAGUUUCGAAUCAUUCCUCCCUCCUCUUAAUAAUAAUAAAAAUUUAUAUAAAAAACAAACUUUAGAUAUGAGCGAUUUUGACGAAACUUAAGAAUAGUAAAGUAAGAAUAAUCAAAACCUAAUGUUUACUAUCUACAAGUAUCAUUGCAUAGAAAAAAUAAAUAAAUAACACUUCACACUCAUUUUUUAUCUUGAAACGUGACACACAUUAAUAAUGGGAAUUUGCCAAGACAGUUAUUUGUUUUUGGUAAAGAUUCUAAAAUUAUAUACGUACACACACAUGUGAUGUUCAGAAAAAUAUGAAGUUACUUUUACAUGCAUGUGUGAUGUUCCUUCGCUAUAUGGGGUCAAAAGUUGAAUUUGUCCCCAAACCUAGGUCGAAUUCCGUGCUGCCUUCAGAAAAGUCACCAUGACCCAUCUCCCGUGACUCAUUUGUUACAUCUCACUUUGCCUUUCAUCGUUAAAUAUAUCAACAGCCAAAAACCAUCAUAACUACAUAAAUAGCACGAAUGCAUGUCACUUCUGCAAAAAGUUUUCCUUUAAAUUAGAGGGAUGAUGCCAUUUACUACCACGUUUAAUAAUAUUUAUCUUCACUUGUAAGUAAAAAGUCUUUAGCUCGAUCUUUGUCGAAUUUGAGUUCAGUCCAAUUAAUUAUGAUUUGCUCAUUUUGUAAAUAUAUUGUCUUAUCCAAAAUAAAAAAUAGAAACGGGAAUUCUUUACUUAAGAAAUGGCUCACGCUUAUAUACNNNNNNNNNNNNNNNNNNNNNNNNNNNNNNNNNNNNNNNNNNNNNNNNNNNNNNNNNNNNNNNNNNNNNNNNNNNNNNNNNNNNNNNNNNNNNNNNNNNNNNNNNNNNNNNNNNNNNNNNNNNNNNNNNNNNNNNNNNNNNNNNNNNNNNNNNNNNNNNNNNNNNNNNNNNNNNNNNNNNNNNNNNNNNNNNNNNNNNNNNNNNNNNNNNNNNNNNNNNNNNNNNNNNNNNNNNNNNNNNNNNNNNNNNNNNNNNNNNNNNNNNNNNNNNNNNNNNNNNNNNNNNNNNNNNNNNNNNNNNNNNNNNNNNNNNNNNNNNNNNNNNNNNNNNNNNNNNNNNNNNNNNNNNNNNNNNNNNNNNNNNNNNNNNNNNNNNNNNNNNNNNNNNNNNNNNNNNNNNNNNNNNNNNNNNNNNNNNNNNNNNNNNNNNNNNNNNNNNNNNNNNNNNNNNNNNNNNNNNNNNNNNNNNNNNNNNNNNNNNNNNNNNNNNNNNNNNNNNNNUUUGCAGGGAGCGGAGCUCGAGUUUGAGGAAGAGCUUCUCGGCCGGCUAGUCGUUUGACAGCGGUCUUUGAAGUUGUUGGCAGCUGCGAGGCAAGAGACGGUGGAGGUGGAGGUGACCAGGGCAGCUGUGACGGACAGAGACGCCAUGGCAGGACCUCGAGGAGUUUUAAGAUACUGGUGCAGGUACUGGUGAGGAUGUGCAGGUUCCUUGGAUGGUGCAAAUUAUUAGAUGGAGGCCAAGCGCUGCGGUGGAAGGAGUCGAUGCCGAGAGCGCAGCCCAACUUGCUCCGGGUGUGCGCACCAUAUACAGCAGGUGGGGUUUGGUGGAGAUUCAGACGACGCGGCGACAGAGUUGGCACCACCUUCCAGCAUCUCGAAUGUGGAGCUCUAAUGGUGAAGAGGGGUUGGGCUGGAUGUCGCAGAGACAGCGGAGAUUGAGAGAGGAGCUCCUGAGCCAUUCUGGAGCCUGCCUGAGCCUUUGCCUUCUCUCUCGCUCGAGAGCGAGCCGUCUCUCUUCUCUCGCUGUCCGCCUGCUGCUUCGUCGCUCCUCGUCUCGCUCUCGAGGUCGAGAUCUGCUUGCCGUUGGCGUCUCUCUCGCUCCGCCUGCUGCUACUCUCGACACGGUGCUGUUGGGGAAGGAUGAUCAGCUAGGAAGAAGAAGCUGGGUUGCUGCUUCCAUUGCUGGGCAGCCGAGGAAGAGAAGUGGAGAGCUUGGAGUUUGACGCAGCCGUGGAGGAAGAAGACGGAGGAGUGGAGUUCGUGGCGUAUGCAGGAAGUCUCGGCCUUGAAGUGGAUGAGGGUACGACGACAGCAGAUCCACCAUUUUCUCUGAAAGCUUUACGGAGCUCUGACAGAGAGAAGAUCCUCAGCAAAUCCCUGUCGUCAUUAGACCAUUUCAGCCCAUAUACCUCAGACUUGUGGCCAACAGGCUUGCUGCUGAUGUAAUUGUCUGGGACUCGAGGAUCAUGUUGAAGUAUGUUCCGGUCUCGGCUUUCUGAAGCUAAUAUGCGCGAGUUCCACGCCAAAAUUCCAGUCCUUGUUUGGUGCCUACCCAUCGUUCGAACCCUCUUGCACUGCAUCCCAUCCCGAACCUGGACUCGACCAAGACUUGUGCCAAUUGACAAGUCUGACCCCUCCCGUGUCCGUUGGAUAGAGCACACACCGUCAUUAGGCCUCAAGUCACACAAUUUUGUCACCUUGCUUGUUUGAUGUACUCCAAAGAUAAACACUGGUGCCGAGUCAAACUGCCAGAGCAUUUUGGGAAGACCAUUCCACAAGGUUCAAGUAAAAGUCAUCUUGUAGUGAUGGAGCAUCCAGAACCUUAUGGGGUGUCUUGGGGACCUUGCGAGGAGGCUUGAGAGGACGAUGAUGAUGAGCAUGGAUGGUCGGGGAACGGCAAAGACAGGAUAAAAUCUUCAAUCCGACCUCGCCCUUGAUCUGAGAAAACACUCUCCGUUUCUCCAGUAUCAGCUUUGGAAUGCGCCCAGUAGUAAAGGCUUGACCCUGCCAGUGACAACAGCGUAAGAACAGUGCCGGCGGCAAACAUGCCCUUGCGCAGAGUAGCACAGGACAAGUCAUCUACUUUGAAGAUUCCCCGGUACUUGGUGUGGUAUGCAUUCUUUGCCGACCCAGCCAACAAGCACGCCUCCGCUCCCAAAAAGGUUGUCCAGGAGAAGACGAAGAAGAAGACGGUCCAAGUGGUGGAGGAGCCAGUGACUAGACCUUUGCCGCAGCAGAGACACCUGGUGACGACGUUAAGCACCGUCUGGCUGACGGCAAGCAGCCCAAACGCCGCUAGUCCGUACACCGU
RNAcentral lists this long non-coding RNA (10547 nucleotides) under Malus domestica (apple). Its description in RNAcentral is "long non-coding RNA (MDOM_LNC010318)". Lineage: Eukaryota; Viridiplantae; Streptophyta; Magnoliopsida; Rosales; Rosaceae. The record is from RNAcentral.